This 28-nucleotide non-coding RNA is filed under the name Mus musculus (house mouse). Lineage: Eukaryota; Metazoa; Chordata; Mammalia; Rodentia; Muridae. The record is from RNAcentral.
UCAGUGUCAAUGGGACUUGACAUUUCUG